AAGCCAUAAGCCAUUUCGACGGCAAAGCCAACUCGUUUGAACCUUCCAGCAAUUUCUAGAAUGUGGAUGGAAUCCAUAAUUGACAUUUAUGACUAAUAAUCUUGAUUUGCAGGUUAAUAGAUAGAUUUUCUAUCCUAACGGUCUACUAGAUCAAGGUCUAACAAUCUAGUGGACUAGGGCCUAAUGACUUACCAAAUUUAGACAUAACAAUCUAUAACUCCAUCUUCAUAUAAAUAGGUAACCAAGG
This 247-nucleotide long non-coding RNA is filed under the name Elaeis guineensis (African oil palm). RNAcentral describes it as "long non-coding RNA (EGUI_LNC026366)". The record is from RNAcentral. Lineage: Eukaryota; Viridiplantae; Streptophyta; Magnoliopsida; Arecales; Arecaceae.